Molecule: small nucleolar RNA, 131 nt
Organism: Acomys russatus (golden spiny mouse)
Lineage: Eukaryota; Metazoa; Chordata; Mammalia; Rodentia; Muridae
Product: small nucleolar RNA SNORA17
Exons: 1
Source: RefSeq, a predicted model, not a curated record
CCUGCCCAUAGAAGCACUGAAGCUGUGGCUUCAAUGUUACAUGUGCAUCAGUGGUGACAGAGAGGAGACAGGCUAUGUCUACUCUCAGCCUUCUGAUCUAUGAACAUCUGAAUGAAUAAUAGCCUAACACU